This is an RNA transcript of Triticum aestivum (bread wheat), 5110 nucleotides long. RefSeq lists it as uncharacterized. The record is from RefSeq and is a predicted model, not a curated record. Lineage: Eukaryota; Viridiplantae; Streptophyta; Magnoliopsida; Poales; Poaceae. The transcript has 16 exons.
CAGGGAGAGAAAAAAUAGCCACACGUCCCCCUCUUUGACUUGUAGUUGCAGGUUGCAAUCGCAGCUGUUUCCGAGACUCUUGCCUGGACACAAAGAAAGGUAGCUGCAUCUGGUCUCGCCGCUUCGCUGCUGUUCGUCUGUGCCCGAGAGAGACCGACCGGGCGCUACCUACUCCUCGUCUCCGAUGCCUCUCCUCCUGCUUCAAGACCUUCCAUUUGUCGGCGUCGCCACACCACUGAACCGUGAAGUCCCACCGGCGUGAUGUCCAUCGCGUGCUGCUUGCCGGUGGUGGAGUGCGUGUACUGCCUGGCCUGCACGCGGUGGGUGUGGCAGCGCUGCCUCCACACCACCGGCUACGACAGCGAGACCUGGGGCCUCGCCUCCUCCGGCGAGUUCGAGCCGGUGCCGCGGCUAUGCCGGUUCAUCCUGGCGGUCUACGAGGACGACCUGGAGACCCCGCAGUGGGCGCCCCCGGGCGGCUACGGCAUCGAGCCCCGGUGGGUGGUGCGGCGGAGGACGCCCGAGCACGCGCAGGGGCGCGCCCCGACGUACCUGCUGUACGUCGAUCACCGGCACGCGGACGUCGUGCUCGCCGUCCGCGGCAUGGACAUGGCCAAGGAGAGCGACUACGCCGUGCUGCUGGACAACAGGAUCGGCCAGGCGGGCUUCGACGGCGGCUACGUGCACAACGGCCUGCUCAAGGCCGCCGAGUGGGUGCUCGACGCCGAGUGCGACGCGCUGAGGGACCUCCUGGCCACGAACCCCGGCUACACGCUCACGUUCGCCGGGCAUUCCCUCGGCUCCGGCGUCGCGGCCAUGCUGGCUCUGCUGGCGGUGCGCGACAGGGAGAGGCUGGGCGGCGUGGAGCGGAGGAGGAUACGGUGCUUCGCCAUGGCGCCUCCCAGGUGCAUGUCGCUCAAUCUGGCAGUCCGUUAUGCCGACGUCAUUAACUCGGUUAUUCUUCAGGAUGAUUUUCUGCCUCGCACGGACAUUCCUCUGGAAGACAUUAUCAAGUCACUUUUCUGCUUGCCAUGCCUUCUCUGUGGAAAUUGCCUUAUAGCUACAUGCAUACCUGAAAGUGUGAUGCUAAGAGAUCCAAGGCGCCUCUACGCACCAGGCCGUCUUUACCACAUUGUUGAGAGGAAACCUUUCAGCACAAUGGCUCGCGGCGAACAUCAAGACGAUGAUGGUGACUUCAUGGAGUUACCGCAACAGAAUCGCGCAACUGGUCGUACAAAAGAUGGCGAUGAGAAGAAGAAACGUUAUCGCAAUAGGGUUUCACAAGAACGCCUGACUAUAUUGACCGAGGGAUUUACUGACGAGCAGAAGGGAGCUGCUAGUGAGAUGGGGAUGCAUGCUCUGAUGGAUGUUCGGUGCAAGAACCUAGUGAACCCUGUAUGCGACUGGCUCGGUGAGAUUUAUGAUCCUGCCUCCAGGGAAUUUGUGAUUCCGGGACGUGGAAGGCUGCCUUUGGACAAGGAAUCCGUGUUCUGCACUUUGGGUGUGCCCCAGGGAGAAAUCAAAGUCCCGUACGAGGUGAAGAAUCCUUGUUCGCCCGUUUGUUUCCUGGGAUGGCAUCCAUGCCGAAUACGACUGUGCUGGCAACUUCGCUGGAGGGCAUGAAAACCCAUGGCGAGGUUUUUAAGAUGAAGCUCCUCAUGUACCUGAUCUCAGCUGUUUUUGCGCCUACCAGAUCUCUUCGCCCAAGCAACAAGUGCUUCCCUAUCCUGGCAAAGCUGAAAGACGUGAAGAACAUAAAUUGGUGUAAAUUCAUCGCGGACUUCCUGCAUGAUGCAUUCUCAGACAAGAUGUACCAGAAGGGCUGUCGCUUGCACUUAAUGCUCAUGUACGUUGAUCGUCUUGAUCUGUCCACCGUCGACUUUACUAGGAUAGGAGGCCCGCUGCCUCCACAUAAGUUUGUUGUCUCUGCGUGGACGUACGAUGCUGUCAAGGCUAUGCUUGCCGCAGACAGGGUAACUGAUACGAAAUAUGGGAAACUGUAGCUGAUGGCCAAGCAUGCUAUAGACUACAACGUGUUUGGUGUGCCUCAAAACUUUGGCAAGUGGAUGGACGUGCACUCAGCUCCGUCUUGUCCUGCUGAGGCGAGGGCACCUGUUGAGCAUCUAGUUGGGUAGUUUGCUUCCGGCUUGACCAGCUUGCUCGGGAAGUUGGUUGAGGGUUGGACGAUACUUAAUGGCUCUGACAGUGACGCGGUUGCGAGGCAGUUCACACCAUUUGUUGCAGAACAGACACAUCGACCAACUGGUUGUCAUGGCCGGUAUGACUACAACAGCCCCCAGGAGCUUCCUGACACACAAGAUGAACUAGAUGGAGAUGUUGGUCUCGACAAGGACGAUGAUGAUGACAUGGAGAAUGUGUAACAUGAAACUCGAUGAACAUGUUGAAGUACGUGCAGGUGGUAAGAAGGACAAGGCUGCACCAGAUGUCCCCCCACCGGAGAAAGUCAUUGAACAGACAGUUGCGAGAGACAAGGGGGUGUCGCCCUCAAAGAGGGGCAGGGCUCCAGAGGAUGUUGGGCAGGGCUCUGUUGGCAAGAGGUCUAGGACCGAUCCCUUAGUUGCUAGGAGGAGUGAGGCGACAGCUGGUGGACGAGUAGUUAUGAAGAAACAAGCACCAACGCCAACCCGUGUUUCUGCCCGAUUGAACAAGGGUGCCCCCAUUGCUGGUGACACCCCUUCCACUAGGUUGUCUCCUCGUACGUCGACGUCCAACACCGGGGAUCCUGUCGUAUUGGUAGACUUGAGGAAGACAGUCAAGAAGGUGAAGAAGACUACUACACGCGUGAGCAAGUAGAACACUAGAGACCCUCUCGAACACAUUCAUUCAAAGCUGUCGACAGGUGGCAACUCAGAUGUUCAUGAGGCGCCAGUCGACAAAACUGCUGCUGCACCAUCCACUGUUCCCACUAGCUCUGAUGCAAGCGGCCGACCAUCUUCGCCAGUUGCAGAUGUGCAAGCUACAACAACAGGCAUCCGUACAUCUGGGAGUGAUGAGUCAGUAUCUGCCAGGACUGCUGAGAUAUUGCCCACUCUGCUGGCAAUGAAGGAUGCUGCUGUGACCCAUGCCACCCGAUCAGCAAGUGUUGAAGUGCACGCUCCCGAUAUCAACCUAAGCAAGGAAGAUUCCCGCUCAUCUGAUACAGAUUCCAAGCGUGUGGCUGGUGGCACUUCUGCGUCCAUGGAAGAAGGGGUUGCGGCGACAAUUCAGAAUGAGAUGCCAUCCACACAUGAGAAUCUUGGCACAACAGCUCCAGCUUCUGGUGGUCCAGAGGUUGCUACGGCGACCAUUAGGCGAGUUGGUCUUCCACCUAGGCGGCGUAGCCCCCGCAAGCAAUCUGCAGACAUACCCAAUGCACCAGCUGUAGCUAGGAACAGCAGAGAUGACGCUGGUUAUGUGCUUGCGUCCACACUGUUCCCACCACCUGCCAAAAGCAAUGUUAUGGAGAAAACAACAGUCCGGAGUGCAACUGACGCGGGUGUCAAGCCGGGCACGACUGACGGAGGUGAACGUCCGGAGUAGACUGUGUCUUUACCCGCCAUGGAGAACCCCAGCUUAAAUCUGCACACUUCUAAGCUCCCAGUCAACAUUGGUGUCCCAUAUAGCCCAAACAAGAAGAUUGGCAAGAAAGUUGCGGUUGAUACCGCUGGCAGCACGCCCCGCCCUACUAAUAAGCCUGAUGAUACUGCAGCAGAUGAGGCAGAAAUGUUUGUUGAUCUGUCAUCCAUGGAUUCUGUGGAGCAACUUCCUCGCGAUCCGGCUGGUAGGGAGGAGAGGCACCCAAUGGCCUUCACCCCACCGAGCUGUAGCCUUGGCAUCGAUCGCAGUCAAGAUGAACCAGUGGUGCAAGAUCCUAUGUCAGUUGCCUUUGCUUUCCCGGCAGGCAUGGCCCCAAUGAUGGCGCAACCAAUGGCUGAUGGCAGGAAGCUAGGCUGUGAAGUUUGUAGAGCCGAUAGUGCAAGCCACCCCUGAGGAGAUUACACCGUCACUUGAUGAAGCUUACCGCAGGAUUGAGGAGGCAGCAUUGCAGAGGAGGUCCUUACGAGGUCAGGGGCAAUCAAGUUCUAACGUGCCUGCUGAGUCGGUAUCUGAGGAUACCGUUAGAAGUUCCACCCCUGGUUCUGUGAGGCAGCAUAGGGUAGUUCACGCACCGCCCGCGGAUGAUUAUGAGCCCGAAGUCAAGGCCACAAAGGAGCAGAACCAGAUGUACGAUAUUGUCAACCGUUUUGGAAAUGCGAGGUCCAACAGCAAGCACAUGAAGGAGCUGAAAGCAACCAAGAUUAUAUGAUGCGACGUACGUUGACCCUGGGUGAUCUUGCCGAGUCUGUGAGGCCACUUGGUAAAAUGUCGAAGAAUGUAGUUGCGUGUGGGAUUGACUUCAUCAACAGGCAUAUGGAUAUUUGUCCCGACAAAACAAUCAUGCAGUACAGUGUGACCUGCAAAAUAUGGGAUGGUGACUUCCACCAUAAAAUCCCGAGGAAGCAUUUUGCUGCGCAUGGUGAAUUCAAGCUCACAAUGAAGAAAUGUGUACUGUUCCCCAUGUUCCAGGAGCUUGCACCACACGACCCACAUGACAAGUGUGGUCACCACUAUGCGAUUUGCCUUGCCCUGAAGAACCAACGAUUUGAGGUGCUAGAUUCAAUGCGUUGAGAAGCUGAUGCAGACCUUACUACGCAUGGUGAACUCUUCAUCAACAACCUCAAAGAGACAUGGAACCGUCACUACGAAAACUCAAGGGUCUAGAUCGGUCAUUUCCCAAUCGAGUACGUCGCGACUACGAAGCAAGGAAACCGGCAUGACUGUGGCUUUCACAUGUUGGAAUACCUUGUAAAGUGGGAAGGUCGACAGGUCCCUAUCGUCACAGCUGCAAUGGUCGUCGAGCUCCGCAAAAUAUACACAUGGAACCGGUUGAUGAAUGAAGAUUUCAACACGCGCGCCAACGCAUGAGAGUUCAUAGAGGAAGCUGUCAAGAAAGCCAACAAGAAGUACAAGUGAUCACGUGGUGCUCCAUACCACACGCCUACCUUACAUUCUGUGGCUGAGGAAUGUAAGGUAUCAACUUGUUCUUUUAAAACUAUGUCUGUGUACUAUG